This 75-nucleotide transfer RNA is filed under the name Opitutaceae bacterium TAV1. Its description in RNAcentral is "tRNA-OTHER". It matches the Rfam family "tRNA". From Rfam's summary of the family: Transfer RNA (tRNA) molecules are approximately 80 nucleotides in length. Their secondary structure includes four short double-helical elements and three loops (D, anti-codon, and T loops). The record is from RNAcentral. Lineage: Bacteria; Pseudomonadati; Verrucomicrobiota; Opitutia; Opitutales; Opitutaceae.
CUUCCUGUGGUGAAAAAGCCAUCACACGGCCGUGCGAAGGCCGAGGUCCAGGUGCAAGUCCUGGCAGGAGGACCA